GAUGAACGCUGGCGGCGUGCCUAAUACAUGCAAGUCGAGCGAAGCGGGGACGUGUGAGUAACAUGUGGAUAACCUCCUAUAGGACUGGGAUAACAUCGGGCAACUUGUCCUAAACCGGAUACUUGCAGAAUGUUCUCGGCUGCAUGAGCUAGUUGGGAAGGUAACGGCUUACCAAGGCAACGAUGCGUAGCCGACCUGAGAGGGUGAUCGGCGACACUGGAGGUGAGACACGGUCAAGACUCCUACGGGAGGGAGCAGUAGGGAAUCUGCCGCAGUGGGCGAGAGCCUGACAGAGCAACGCCGCGUGAGUGGUGAAGGUCAUGGGAGCGUAAAGCUCUGUUAUGAGGGAAGCGGUACCGAAUGAGGAAGCAACGGCUAACUACGUGCCAGCAGCCGCGGUAAUUC
Molecule: ribosomal RNA, 405 nt
Filed under: uncultured bacterium
Lineage: Bacteria
Description: partial 16S ribosomal RNA
Rfam family: Bacterial small subunit ribosomal RNA
Source: RNAcentral